Molecule: long non-coding RNA, 615 nt
Organism: Mustela erminea (ermine)
Lineage: Eukaryota; Metazoa; Chordata; Mammalia; Carnivora; Mustelidae
Exons: 3
Source: RefSeq, a predicted model, not a curated record
AGGGCGAGCGGUCUGAGAGAGGCACAGGGGGCUGGGAGGGAAGAUUUUUGACAUUUGAGGCAGGCCCUGGAUAAAGAGGAAGAAACCAGAUCCUGUGGUUCCCUUUGAACAGAAGAUGGAAAGCCAUUGCUGACCACGGGGGCAGCGAGCCCAGCCUGGGACCCAGGACCCCUGUCCAGGACGCUACACCCACUCCUGUGUGACCCUGGGAAGGUCCACUUCCCUUCUCUGAGCCGCGGGUGCCUUCAUCUGGGCCUGAGGGAAGUGAGCCACAGCUGGAAGCUUCCUUGAAACACCUUCUAAGAAUCUCCAUUUCUGAGCAUUCCGGUUCUGACUCAGCUCCGGCCUCUAGCUUUUGGACUUUGGCAAGGGCUCUUCUGAAACCUUUAUGGACUCUGGGAGGCAAGAACAGUUGGAGAAAGACAGAGGGGAGGACAUGAAUAAGAAAAAUAGAUGUGAUCAACAACUAUUUACUGAGCAAGGCAUUUGGAAGACAGAGAAACAGACCACCAGGAGGCGCCGCGAAUCAACAUCCCGGUUGCCUCUCUGCAGCGCCACCUUGAGGAGGAAUCCAUGAACCGCCGUAGAAGGAACAGCCCCACUUAGAGGGUCAAG